RNAcentral lists this ribosomal RNA (495 nucleotides) under uncultured bacterium. Its description in RNAcentral is "partial 16S ribosomal RNA". It matches the Rfam family "Bacterial small subunit ribosomal RNA", at positions 28 to 507 of the family's 1533-position model. The record is from RNAcentral.
GAUGAACGCUGGCGGCGUGCCUAAUACAUGCCAGUAGAACGCUGAAGGAGGAGCUUGCUCUUCUGGAUGAGUUGCGAACGGGUGAGUAACGCGUAGGUAACCUGCCUGUUAGCGGGGGAUAACUAUUGGAAACGAUAGCUAAUACCGCAUGACAACAGUUAUUGCAUGAUAACUGUUUAAAAGGGGCAACUGCUCCACUACCAGAUGGACCUGCGUUGUAUUAGCUAGUUGGUGAGGUAACGGCUCACCAAGGCGACGAUACAUAGCCGACCUGGGAGGGUGAUCGGCCGCACUGGGACUGAGACACGGCCCAGACUCCUACGGGAGGCAGCAGUAGGGAAUCUUCGGCAAUGGACGGAAGUCUGACCGGGCAACGCCGCGUGAGUGAAGAAGGUUUUCGGAUCGUAAAGAUCUGUUGUAAGAGAAGAAAGAGUGUGAGAGUGGAAAGUUCACACUGUGACGGUAUCUUACCAGAAAGGGACGGCUAACUACGUG